UACGAAGGGAGCUAGCGUUGUUCGGAAUCACUGGGCGUAAAGCGCACGUAGGCGGACGGGUCAGUCAGGGGUGAAAUCCCGGAGCUCAACUUCGGAACUGCCUUUGAUACAGCACGUCUUGAGUCCGGAAGAGGUGGGUGGAAUUCCUAGUGUAGAGGUGAAAUUCGUAGAUAUUAGGAAGAACACCGGUGGCGAAGGCGGCCCACUGGUCCGGUACUGACGCUGAGGUGCGAAAGCGUGGGGAGCAAACAGG
This 253-nucleotide ribosomal RNA is filed under the name uncultured bacterium. Its description in RNAcentral is "partial 16S ribosomal RNA". It matches the Rfam family "Bacterial small subunit ribosomal RNA", at positions 524 to 776 of the family's 1533-position model. The record is from RNAcentral.